UGCGCAGGCGGCUUCUCAAGUCAGGGGUGAAAGCCCAGAGCUCAACUCUGGAAUUGCCUUUGAGACUGAGUGGCUUGAGUACGAGAGAGGUGAGUGGAAUUCCCAGUGUAGAGGUGAAAUUCGUAGAUAUUGGGAAGAACACCGGUGGCGAAGGCGGCUCACUGGCUCGUAACUGACGCUGAGGAGCGAAAGCGUGGGGAGCGAACA
Molecule: ribosomal RNA, 207 nt
Filed under: uncultured bacterium
Lineage: Bacteria
Description: partial 16S ribosomal RNA
Rfam family: Bacterial small subunit ribosomal RNA
Source: RNAcentral